UUUUUGUGCGCGUGAGGGAUAGUAGUGGAGCUCUUUUUUUGGGUUGACUUUUUUUGUCAAGCCAAAAAAAAGCGGGAACGGAUAGCCCGACCCGGC
This 96-nucleotide small RNA is filed under the name Flavobacterium tiangeerense. RNAcentral's name for it is "Flavo-1 RNA". It matches the Rfam family "Flavo-1 RNA". Lineage: Bacteria; Pseudomonadati; Bacteroidota; Flavobacteriia; Flavobacteriales; Flavobacteriaceae. The record is from RNAcentral.